This 1060-nucleotide long non-coding RNA is filed under the name Phasianus colchicus (ring-necked pheasant). RNAcentral describes it as "lncRNA (ENSPCLG00000017726.1)". The record is from RNAcentral. Lineage: Eukaryota; Metazoa; Chordata; Aves; Galliformes; Phasianidae.
GGGCAAAAAAUGCAAUUUUGGGGCUCCAGGGGGAGAUUUUGGGGUGAAUUGGGCAGAUUUUGGGGUCAAAGAUUCCGAUUUUGGGAAUCCAGGGGAGAUUUUGGGUGGAAAAAUGGCGAUUUGGGGACAAAAGGUUCCGAUUUGGGGUUUUGGGGGACAGAUUUUGGGGCAAAAAUGGCGAUUUGGGGGUGAGAAAGUUUGGAAUUUGGGGCCAAAAGUCGCAAUUUGUGGGUGGUUGGGGACAGGUUUUGGGGCCAAAAGUGGCGAUUUUGGAGCACAAGGUUCCGAUUUGGGGUGAAAAAAUGCUAUUUUGGGGGUCCAGGGAGAGAUUUUGGGGGAAAUUGUGCAGAUUUGGGGUGAAAAAGUUUUGAUUUGGGAGCAAAAUGUUCCGAUUUGGGGUUUUGGGGACAGAUUUUGGGGUAAAAAGUGGCGAUUUGGGGCAGAAAGAACAGAUUUGGGGCAAAAAGUUCCUAUUUGGGGUUUUUGGGGACAAUUUUGGGCAUAAAGUGGCGAUUUGGGACCAAAAAAAUCCAGAUUUGGGGCAAAAAUCCAGAUUUGGGGAGAUUUGGGGAUGAUAAAGUUCAGAAUUUGGGGCAAAAUGUUGGGAUUUGGGGAUUUUUGUGGCCAGAAUUUGGGGCCAAAAGUGCAGAUUUGGGGAUUUGGGGGCAGAGAUUUGGGUGGAAAAGGUUCCGAUUUGGGCCAAAAGCCGCAGAUUUGGGGUGAAAAAAGGAUAUUUUGGGGCUGCAGGGACAGAUUUGGGGGGGAAAAGUUCCAGUUUGGGGCCAAAUGUUCCAAUUUUGGGAUUUGUGGGAGAGAAAUGUGGGAAAAGGGCGAUUUUGGGGCGAAAAGUUGCGAUUUUGGGGAUUUCAGGGGAGAUGUUGGGUGGAAAAAUGGCGAUUUUGGGGCAAAAGGUUCCGAUUUGGGGUUUUGGGGGAGAGAUUUGGGGGCAAACUGUGCAGAUUUGGGGCCAAAAGUUCCCGUUUGGGGAUUUUGGGGCCCAAAGUUGCGAUUUUGGGGUAAAAAAUUGGGGAUUUGGGGGCAGAAAACGAACAUUUUUUGG